This 769-nucleotide ribosomal RNA is filed under the name uncultured bacterium. RNAcentral describes it as "bacterial SSU rRNA". It matches the Rfam family "Bacterial small subunit ribosomal RNA", at positions 8 to 795 of the family's 1533-position model. The record is from RNAcentral.
AGAGUUUGAUCCUGGCUCAGGACGAACGCUGGCGGCGUGCCUAACACAUGCAAGUCGAGCGGGGAACCCCUUCGGGGGUUUUCAGCGGCGGACGGGUGAGUAACGCGUGAGCAACCUUUCCUUCACAGGGGGAUAACGCAGCGAAAGCUGUGCUAAUACCGCUUGAGACCACAGAGUCGCAUGGCUAGGGGUCAAAGGAGCAAUCCGGUGAAGGGUGGGCUCGCGUCUGAUUAGCUAGUUGGCGGGGUAACGGCCCACCAAGGCAACGAUCAGUAGCCGACCUGAGAGGGUGAUCGGCCACACUGGGACUGAGACACGGCCCAGACUCCUACGGGAGGCAGCAGUGGGGAAUAUUGGGCAAUGGGGGAAACCCUGACCCAGCAACGCCGCGUGAGGGAAGAAGGUUUUCGGAUCGUAAACCUCUGUCCUCAGGGACGAAAAAAUGACGGUACCUGAGGAGGAAGCCCCGGCUAACUACGUGCCAGCAGCCGCGGUAAUACGUAGGGGGCAAGCGUUACUCGGAAUUAUUGGGCGUAAAGGGCGCGUAGGCGGUCUCGUGCGUCAGGGGUGAAAUCCCCGGGCUUAACCCGGGACGUGCCUCUGAUACGGCGAGACUUGAGUCCGGGAGAGGGGAGCAGAAUUCCCAGUGUAGCGGUGAAAUGCGUAGAUAUUGGGAGGAAUGCCAGUGGCGAAGGCGGCUCCCUGGACCGGUACUGACGCUGAGGCGCGAAAGCGUGGGUAGCAAACAGGAUUAGAUACCCUGGUAGUC